UCUCCGUAGGUGAACCUGCGGAGGGAUCAUUACAGAGUUCUCGCCCUCGCGGGUGGAUCUCCCACCCUCUGUUAUCGUUACUGUGUUGCUUUGGCGGGCCGCCGGGCCCCGCUCGGCCGCCGGCUCCGGCUGGCGCGCGCCCGCCAGAGGCCCAGCAAACUCUGAAUGUUAGUGUCGUCUGAGUACUAUAUAAUAGUUAAAACUUUCAACAACGGAUCUCUUGGUUCUG
RNAcentral lists this unclassified non-coding RNA (229 nucleotides) under plant metagenome. RNAcentral's name for it is "partial contains small subunit ribosomal RNA, internal transcribed spacer 1, and 5.8S ribosomal RNA". The record is from RNAcentral.